Molecule: ribosomal RNA, 240 nt
Filed under: uncultured soil bacterium
Lineage: Bacteria
Description: partial 16S ribosomal RNA
Rfam family: Bacterial small subunit ribosomal RNA
Source: RNAcentral
AGAACGAACGCUGGCGGCAUGCCUAACACAUGCAAGUCGAACGAGACCUUCGGGUCUAGUGGCGCACGGGUGCGUAACGCGUGGGAAUCUGCCCUUGGGUUCGGGAUAACAGUUGGAAACGACUGCUAAUACCGGAUGAUGACUUCGGUCCAAAGAUUUAUCGCCCAGGGAUGAGCCCGCGUAGGAUUAGCUAGGUUGGUGAGGUAAAGGCUCACCAAGGCGACGAUCCUUAGCUGGUCU